Molecule: non-coding RNA, 23 nt
Filed under: Arabidopsis thaliana (thale cress)
Lineage: Eukaryota; Viridiplantae; Streptophyta; Magnoliopsida; Brassicales; Brassicaceae
Source: RNAcentral
GAAGCAAUGUCUACCCUUGAUGC